This 180-nucleotide unclassified non-coding RNA is filed under the name uncultured Exophiala. RNAcentral describes it as "sequence contains ITS2". The record is from RNAcentral. Lineage: Eukaryota; Fungi; Ascomycota; Eurotiomycetes; Chaetothyriales; Herpotrichiellaceae.
UCACCCCUCAAGCCCCCGGCUUGGUGUUGGACGGUCUGGUCCGGGGACCUCAAACCCCCCUGGACCCCUCCCAAAGACAAUGACGGCGGGCUGUUGAACCCCCGGUACACUGAGCAUCUUCACGGAGCACGUACCGGUCUCAAGGGUCGACGGCACCCGGUCUAUACCUAUAUUUUUCAA